UCCCUGGCCGUCCAAUUGUUAGGACUCUGCACUCUCACUGCUGAAGACCUGGGUUCAAUCCCUGGUCAGGGAA
RNAcentral lists this transfer RNA (73 nucleotides) under Bos taurus (domestic cattle). It matches the Rfam family "tRNA". From Rfam's summary of the family: Transfer RNA (tRNA) molecules are approximately 80 nucleotides in length. Their secondary structure includes four short double-helical elements and three loops (D, anti-codon, and T loops). The record is from Rfam by way of RNAcentral. RNAcentral also lists the same sequence under 5 other names. Lineage: Eukaryota; Metazoa; Chordata; Mammalia; Artiodactyla; Bovidae.